Molecule: non-coding RNA, 1025 nt
Organism: Phoenix dactylifera (date palm)
Lineage: Eukaryota; Viridiplantae; Streptophyta; Magnoliopsida; Arecales; Arecaceae
Source: RefSeq, a predicted model, not a curated record
UGAGAGUUUGCCACCAUUCAUAAAUAUAGAGAAAAGGGGGGAAAGAAGAAAAAUCAAGAAGAGGUGCGAAAACGAGCGAUUGAAGGCGACGCGAAAGCUGGGGGAAUUUAAUAAAGAGGAGAGAAUUCUAAGGUUCGUCUCACAUGAAUCGUGAAUUCGUGAUCUGAAUUCGAGAGAGGGGUCGCAGUUGUCUAUGCCUAUCUGUCGAUGUAUCUAAGCAUGCAUGCCCGUAUACACCUGCACCCAUAAAUGCUAGUAAAUGCUCAUGAACGUGGAUCCAUUCUUCCCCAAUACAGAGGUGUUAUGGUUCUAUCCAUCCAAGCGCACUCGCACGGCAGAGCACCGAAAAGCACAAAGGGCACAUCACUGAACUACUAAUUCGAUCACAAAAACAAUAAAAAUAAUGGAAUCCAGAGUCGUUCUCGGGCAUGUACAUGGAUGCAUGUGGAUCCAAAAGGUAUGAGAGUUGUUGUUGUUGUUGUUGUUGUGCGUGUGUAGAGGGCCUUCUUCUAGUGAAGUCCUUUGCGAGCAGGCUUGGUCGAUUGGCACACAGCUAAUCUAGAAAUCCAAGACCAUUUUUUGUUAUUGUUAGUCCAGAUCCGGAGGCAUUCUGGGGAAUGUGGGAUUCAUGCCAAGCAAGAGGAAAUUAGAGGCAUCCAAUUGGGUGACAGCUCCUGACAUUUAUUGGGAGUCAUGUCGCUGUAAAUUAUGUCGCUUUUCCAGUCCAGAGAGCCGCAUUUAUCUAAUUAGAAGACUUUCACAUGGAUGCAUGCUAUGCGCGUCCUGUAACUGGGGCGCCCAGUGGAGCCAGGACACCACAAAGUGGAAGCUUCUCUGCUGCGAUAACGCUUAUCAGCCUUGGAGAAAGCAAAGGACCACUGCUUCAACCCGACCCUCUUGAGCACCGCUGCGAAGCAGGGUGAUGCAGAUUACCUUUUCGGUGGAAUAAGUAAGGCGGUUGGCAAUUGAUGGUUCGAUGCUGUUCUCUUACUUCUGAUUGCGGUAAUAUAAAAUCCUUUUUUUUU